Oncorhynchus kisutch (coho salmon) is the source of this 926-nucleotide long non-coding RNA. RefSeq lists it as uncharacterized. Lineage: Eukaryota; Metazoa; Chordata; Actinopteri; Salmoniformes; Salmonidae. The record is from RefSeq and is a predicted model, not a curated record. The transcript has 3 exons.
AACCAGCAGAUCCACACCCCCCGGAACCUCAAACCAAUCGCUCCAUAAUCUGGCAUUUAUGACGCUUCAUAGUCCUUCACGACUCCGCACAACUGUGGCCCAAGUGCAUUGCGCAGAAUCACCCCGGCCCAAGAAGGGCUACAGGGCUGAAAAAUGUACGGAUUCAAGACCUGGCGCUCUAUUGAUACGACUCCCACGAGACCGGCCCUGCAGAAUAGGGAAACACUAGAUGUAAAAAGUCACGCCCCCGCAGUUUCUACGAUUCGUCAGAACAGCCAGCGCCAAAAAAGCUGAGACUCCUCCCCGGCGAAAAACGGCACAGAAGGCCACAUACAUCUAGAGCUGGGGGAUUCCGGCUCACCGAACAUUCCCAAUGAAACACCCAAAGCGGGGGGAUAUCCCUGUUUUUAAUGCCAUUUCAGAGGUUGACGACCGGUUAUUCUGUGAUGCGGCCAACCUUCUUGACCCCGACAAUUCUAUGGCGUCAACAUCCGGAUCUGAAAUAGAACAAGCAAGGUUUUUUCACAGUCUUUUUAAUUCUAGGUAUUUAGAUGUAUGUUUUUAAAAAUGAAGACUAUUUAUACAAUGAAACAAGGUUUUUUAUUCACACUGUUUGUAAACAAUAGCUUCUGCCCUCUUAGGGUCAACAUGACCCGCUUAUUGAUUAGAAAGUAUGAUUAGAAACCAAGGCCAUCUAUAUUCAAUCUGUGAUUAGAAACGAUAAUUAGAAGCUAUGACAAAACUAUGAAGACAGGGCGGUGUGUGCGUGAAUGAUGACCUAUUAUUUAAGUGUGGAAUAUAUUCUCUCUCUCUCAGGCAUAUAUAUUUGAUACAAUUACCCACUUUAAAAACUGUUGCUGCAAUAUCACUUCUCAAUGUGUGUACAUUUCAAGCUUUCAACAACAAUAAACCAACCAGCUCAAUAA